Molecule: ribosomal RNA, 167 nt
Filed under: uncultured bacterium
Lineage: Bacteria
Description: partial 16S ribosomal RNA
Rfam family: Bacterial small subunit ribosomal RNA
Source: RNAcentral
GCUGUAAUGGCAGGUCAGCAUACUGCCGUGAAUACGUUCCCGGGCCCUUGUACACACCGCCCGUCACACCAUGAGAGUUGGGGAUACCCGAAGCCUGUGAGCUAACAGUAAUGUAGCAGCAGUCGAAGGUAGAAUCAAUGAUUGGGGUGAAGUCGUAACAAGGUACC